RNAcentral lists this transfer RNA (72 nucleotides) under Dermacentor andersoni. RNAcentral describes it as "transfer RNA glutamic acid (anticodon CUC)". It matches the Rfam family "tRNA". From Rfam's summary of the family: Transfer RNA (tRNA) molecules are approximately 80 nucleotides in length. Their secondary structure includes four short double-helical elements and three loops (D, anti-codon, and T loops). Further hydrogen bonds mediate the characteristic L-shaped molecular structure. tRNAs have two regions of fundamental functional importance: the anti-codon, which is responsible for specific mRNA codon recognition, and the 3' end, to which the tRNAs corresponding amino acid is attached (by aminoacyl-tRNA synthetases). tRNAs cope with the degeneracy of the genetic code in two manners: having more than one tRNA (with a specific anti-codon) for a particular amino acid; and 'wobble' base-pairing, i.e. permitting non-standard base-pairing at the 3rd anti-codon position. Lineage: Eukaryota; Metazoa; Arthropoda; Arachnida; Ixodida; Ixodidae. The record is from RNAcentral.
UCCGGCGUGGUCUAGUGGCUAGGACACCUGGCUCUCACCCAGGAGGCCCGGGUUCAAUUCACGGCGUCGGAA